UGUUUUAUAGGCCGUUAAUUCGUGAUGAAAGGAAAUAAAAACACAUAACAUACAUUUCCACUUAAUUGGAAAAAGUUAGUUUUUAUUAUUACGACCACUAAAUCGGGUGCGACCAAAAGCCCCGUUUAACGGCAAUAUUGGGUAGAAUUCCACUGAGCCCCGACUCAAAACCCUAUAUAAGGGUGAGUGGAGUCCAUUGGAGACUUUUUACACUCUCCAAACUCUCUCUCUCUACAACUUUUUCCCGAGCCAAAAAUCGUCCGUUUCGAGCCCCAAACGAGUAGGUAAACUAUCCUAACUCGUUGUAUAACUUAUCUAGCGUACAAAUUCGAGUUUAAAACAUAAAAUAGGGACAACAUCAUGAGUUUACGGCCCAAGAACACUCUUGGGCCGUGAACACCAAUUAAUGGGGUUUUUAAGCCCCAAAACCCCUCCAAAUUGUCCCUAAGGCUUGGAUAUGACUUGUAGGCUUAUGGAAUCGGACUUAGAACACCUUGAACUAGCAUUUUGAAGAGUAAACAAGAGUUUACUGCCCAAGAACAUGCUUGGGCCGUAAACUCCUCUUCAUGGGGAGUAAACUAUAUUUUGUGUGUUAAAAAUGCCCUUAAACACACCAAUGGCCUUGGAUUAAAUUCUAGAAACGACCAACAACAAGCUAGGGACCGUAAAUGCAAUAAAAACAACUCCAUUAGGAGUUCACGGCCGUAAACCCCUCAUGGAAGGGUGCCUAGGCCGUAAACUCCCACAAAGGGGUUAUUUGGUGCCCUAAACUCCCCAUUUGACUUGGAAAAAUGCUUAGGAAAUUACCCACUACCACUUAAGCACUUAAAACACCAAAAGAAUAAGGGUAUAGGAGCUUACGGAUGUAAGCUCCCUUUCUUAUGGUCGUAAACUCCUCAAAGGGGCCAUUUCAUGCUUUAAACUCAUUCACACCUUAUGGUUUAGGACUUAGAAUAAUUCCAUGAGCAAGUAGAAGCCUUAAACAUCACCAUGAGUUUACGGCCGUAAACUCAUGGUGAGUAGUCCCUAGGCCGUAAGCAUGGUGUUAGGGGUUUACUCUUGGAGUGUAAACUCCAUUCCCUAGCCAUACACACCCUUAGACGCUACCCGGGACACCCAAACACUUAUCUAAAGUGUUUUCCGCUCCUUUGAGUGCGUAUACUUGUUUAAUUAGUAUUAAAUAUACUAAUUGUAUGUGAACAUAUGUUAUCAUAUGUUAAAUAGGUCAUUGAGUGUGUUCGAGUCCUUGCGUGACACCGAACGCCCAAACGGCACCUUCGUCGGACCUACUUACACCAGGUGAGUUCAUACCCCUGAAUGAACCUUUUAAAUGUUUUCACAUGUUUUAUAGGGGGGAAUACAAGUUAAACAUGCCAGUUAUCAUAUCAAUCACAUGUGAUUGAUAACCCGCAUGCACAAGAUUUUACCAUACUUUAUACUAUUUUACCGAUUAGGACACUAUAAUGGUUUUCUAAAAGGUUUUCAUUCGUUUCGAAACUCUUACUUAUACUGUUUUGUCUAAAUUCAUUCUAAACUGAUUUAUGAAAGAUUUCCAAAGGUUUUCAAACACGUUUUUACAACAUAAUACAAAUUGUGAUUUUCUCCGAAUAUAAAGGUUUUUCAUCGAAGUUUCUCUUUCACGACAUAUACUUUUACUUAUUAGAUACUGCUGCUUCGCUUAUACUUAUUUUAUACUCCUACUUAGUAACGCUUUCACUUAUACUUGUAGUCGCUUAUACCGAUAGACACUCUUACUUCACUUAUUGUCGUCUCUACUUCGUGAUACGCUUAUACUUGAUCGACACUCCUACUUCACUUGCGAUCGUUUCUACUUCACUUGUACGACACUCUUACUUCACUUGCGACCGCUCCUACUUCACUUAUUAGACACUCCUACUUCACAAGAAUCACUUCUACUUGAUACACACUCAGUAGUAGUUAUAUAUGUGUCUGUGCUGAUAUAGGUAUAUAUAAGUAAUGAUUGAAAGACUUAGGAAGGCUCGUCCGCCCUAUUUCCUUUUCUUCGUAGAGAUGUGGUCUGGUGGGAUCGGAUGGCCGUCUGAAGGUCGUUUGACUCAUUAGUUAUAUAUUAUAUAUAUAUGAGUAUGGACAUAUAGGAAUUCUCUAGUCAGUUCAGUUAAGAGUCUCUACCUCUAGUCUACACUUACAUUAGAAACCCACUAUUGGGAAGUCUCUACCUCUAGUUCAGCACUUACACACUGCCCACUAUUUGGAAGUCUUUACCUACUAUUUGGGAUGCAUCUUCAAGACACGGCCUUCUCCGUCGUCUAGUUGGUAACCAGAGUCUCCUGUAGGGAGAGCGGACAUUGUGUGUAUAGAUCUAUACGGGAUUUACACCCCCACACCCUGACUGCUAGCUACAGUUCACGACUCACUAAGCCAAGGGGUGACAAAUGUCACAUUAUAUAGACGCUUGUAGGGCGUCUGGUACUCUAGUGUCGGUUAGUAUGGUUACGAGUAUCCCGGGUUACCUUAUAAUUCAUGGCCUUAAGGUAACGGUAUUUCGCCAGCAAUUUACACUGUAUGCUGGUAAUUCAUGUUCAGAGUCACACUGUUUUGACCUUACAAGAUGUAUCUUUCAUUUGAUGCUGUCUGGGGUCUGUCUCCUCUGUUUUUACCUUACAAGACGUAUCUCUCAUUUGAUGCUGUCUGGGGUCUGUAUCCACUGUAUUCACUGUUUUAGACCUUGCUAGACGUAUAUUUCAUUUGAUAUUGUCUGCGGUCUGUAUUCACUGUUCUGGACCUUACCAGCUGUACCUUUCAUUUGGUACCUUCUGGGGUCUGUGUCUCUAUUUGUUAGGCUGAACCAGGCGUGUCGUUAGUUCGAUACUCUCCUGGAGUCUAUGAUUCCUUGCCUUAGUCAGCAGUCCUCACUGUUGAGGCAUAUGUUAUUUCCCUGUUGUCUCUUGCUUUCUUUAAUAGUCAAAUUCAGUAUUUUGAUAAUGAUAGCAAUUAAGGGAAAACCACUUUUUACCACAUAACACUGACCAGCCUUGGUAGAGGGCUGCUUUGAUUAAAGAAAAUAUAGGAUUUUCUGGAAAGAACUCUAAUACACUAUAAACACUUAAACUAUUACUUUAUAAGUUAUUUGAAUGAAAUGUCACUAAAUACUUAUGAACUCACCAGCAUUUGUAAAAAUGCUGAUACUCGCUUUUCAAAUAACUUGUAUUCUCAAGUUAGCAUUAGACAGGUACAUCCUCGGAGCUGUUGAUGAAGAUAGCUUAGUACCACGCUGUAUUUAUUCUAUUACUUGUAUUACUUCGAUGUAUUAAUGUAACCAUGUAAAACUAUUACUAUUAAUGCAAUGUUUUGUUGUACUUUGAUUACUAUAAUGCAUGUGUUGUGAUACUUGACAUGACGUCAUCCACCCCAGAACGUUUCCGCCGUUCCGGUUUUGGGGUGUGACAGAUUGGUAUCAGAGCAUUGUUUAUAGUGAGCUAAGUAUAUCAAUUCAUAAAAGAUAUACAACCUAUAAACACAAAGGGAUAAAACACUCUGACCAAGAAUUAUACUUUAAAAUAUAACCAUAUUUUACCAAAGUAUAAUAACAUCCAGAAUCUAAACACUCGAACAAAAGUAUCACAAGAAGAACAAUAAUAAAAGUCUUCGGAUGUUGAGCACUACAGUCAAACCUGGGCAGUUAUGUAAUCGUAAGCUGGGAUAAAUGUAACCUGAUCAACUACAUUUAUCCGAGAUGCGAUGAACGUGUGCUCGGGAGUGAUAGUGGUGUGCAACAGGUCUGAAACUUACCAACUAGGAAUGCUAGAGCCAAACAUAAAGUUAAAAUACUAUAGGAGUAUUUUAGAACACUAAAAGAUCCACACUAAUCCCAGAAUGAAACUCAGAAGAUAAGAAUCAAACAAGAAUUAAAAUACCAUAGGGGUAUUUUAGAAUCCAUAAACAACCUUGCGUGAAUAACUAAAAAGAUCCUUAUUGAUAUACCUACAACUACAGAGGGUGUACUCCCAAGGUUAUAUAUAAUAAGGAUCCCAUAGGCUAAGAAUGUGUGGUUUCGCUCUACUUCCUUUUCCUUGUUUGGAUGUGGAUACCGAGUAGUAUCACAUAUUCGAAGGCCUAUCGGAUCUAAGUUAUAUAUGAUUUGUAUACCCUGUGUAAUCGUAGCAGGACUCGAUAUGGAUCAUACAGUGAAAUGUUAAUAAUCUCUUAGGAUUCUUUAGACAUUUCCAUUCUCGCACGAACCCUGUAGAAAACCCUAUCCACUUCAGUGCUUGACAGAAGAGUUGAUUCCGACCCCGAGGAGAUUCAUUGAGAAGAUUUCCUGUUCGGAAAUAAAUGAACUGGGUCGAGACUAUUGAAUGCACCAAGUGCCCAUAUUCUCUUAGGGACAGUGGUGAGAGAUUCGCCUAAACUUCGGAGAUUCCCAGUCAUCCAUCAUGAAGUGAUGACACCCACAGUUGGAAUCAGAAGGAAGGCGGAGUAGAAAUUCAAUAUGUCCAUACGAGAAGAGAACCCUAGGAAACUACCCGAAGGAAACCAACGCCGAUUCCAGUCAAAGAUACGAGGCAGACCGAGGGAGCCAGUACAUGGAACCCGGGAAUUGUCUUUUCCUCGUGUUCGUCACGCUAAUACACCCAUAAAAUAAUACAAUUUAGUGAGUUAGUGGUUACACUACUCACGCUAUGUGUUAGGUAAAUCGUCGUUUCCCGUUGCCAGAUACACGAUUAGGGCGGAUCCCCGCAUCUCUAUUGAGAGAAUUUUAGCCAUCUGCCCUUGUGAGCCUCUCUUUCCGCAGUUUCGUUCCGAACCGUUCUCAAAUCUCUCCAGGCCGGAGAGUGAAACCUUUCCCAGUAUAAAGGUAACUUAGUAGGAACGACUCGCAUCUUAUGGCCUUUUUCCGAUACUCAUACACCCACUUCGAUUACCAGGACUACAUCAUAGGGAUGUAGGUCGACACUCAGACGACCAGUACCCGAGGCACGGGAAAAUUUAUGCCUAAUACGUUCAGGACAGAAAUGUCCAGGGUUAACCAUCGUCUCUCAUUACCUUGUAUUCCUUUCCGUGUAGGAAAACCAUGCCACCGAAGAAGCGUAACCAAUCCACAAGCAAGAAACCUACUCUCUUAUUUGAUGAAGCUACGUUCCAAGUUGCAGUCUCAGCAGCCGUAGUAGCUGUCAUGGCUCACCUAAAUGCUAACACCGCCAAUGUUUGCAAGGGCCCUAUCGGGAUUUCCAAUCCUGGCAAUGGACAACAGCAACCAACACUUCCAUAAUCAGCCACCCAAGAACCUCACUCAAACCCACUAAAGAGAAAACUCAAGAUUGAGGAGGGAAGUACCUCGGCUCAAGCACCUUCCGAAGGGCAACGAGCUGAGGCUGUCUAUACCCCUGUCAAUCCUUCCCUCCCGACUCCAAGAAGACCGUACCUAGGAGACCUUCCCCACUGCAGCAAGUGCAGCUACCAUCAUCAUGGUGCCUGCCGGGAACUCUAUUGUGCUAGGUGCCACAUGCUGGGGCAUACCGCUCGCGUCUGUAGAACCCCGGUUGAGUUCAUUACAUCAACUACCAAUGUGGCGACCCGCACAGUUUGCUACAUAUGUGGUGAAAUGGGACACUUCAAGAAGGACUGCCUAACCGAAGGAAAGAUAAAGACACAGGAGGAGCCUAACUCUACUGCUUAGGGAGAAGCAUCAAGACACUCGUUAGAUUUUGGUACGUCUCUCGAUCUCAGAUAACUAAACUAAAUACAUUAAAAGAUUAAUUCAAAAUGUAACUUCUCCCCUGUAAGGCGAAAGUCGCAGCACUGUUAUAAGAUUUAAAAAUUCAUCAGGUAAAACUAUAAUGGCUAAACAUAUACGUUACGGCCAUGUAUAUUUAAGAUGGACAGACCUAGAGUAAGCGAAUGCCGCCUCAUUCCCUGUUCCUCGUUUGGUUGUGGAUUUAGGGCGGGGUCGCUCAGUCAACAGUCCUCCCCACCUUAAAUAUACAUGACUAGUAUAUGUGAGGCGAUUAUAGAAAUGCCUUGUGAGAAUCUACUCAUGAAAAGGUACUCUAUUCGGAAACGCUUAGAACUCUCUAUAGUUCCGCGUCGACUCUAUCGGUCCAGGUAUCCGUGGUAGUGAUACAUAGGACGAAACCCGAGACGCCUAGAACUGGUGUGCCUGUUCAGCACAUGACUCCAUCGAUCUUCACUUUAUAUCAUGUCGGAGUGUGCCAACUUCGACAACUCUAUUGAUCAUGGUUUGACUUCGUGCAACCAUGUGUUCAUCCUUAGUGCUGUGUAAAAAGAACUUUCUCCAUAGCCAUGUCGGCAAAUAAAGGUUCUCCCGAACCUAAAACCUAACACAAAUAAUCUAACCUAAAGCGAUCCGUCAAUCGUCCCUCUUAUCCCAAACCUUCCGAAGUACCCAAGAGAGGGUACAGUGCGCCGUUGACCAACCCCUCGUAGUGAGAUGAACACCGAAGUGAACGACACUGCAGAUACUCUAGAAGACGACAACCAUCCGGAGCAUACUCAGAAGAAUCCCUGGAAAGACCCUUCGCACCUCGCACGUCAGGUUCAUAAGCAUAAAGAUUAGAACUCAUAAGACUGACCACUAUAACUAGGUAUAUGCGUACAGCUGAACAUCCUACCAACCUCAAUUAUAUACUGCUUGCAUACACCAAGUAUUGGUGGUUAAGCCAAGCAUGAGCUCUAUCACGAACCACUUCGCGAAACACUUUCACCCUAUUCCAUAACAUAGGAGCUGGAGUCAAGAGAAUCACUGCGGGUUAAACUAGUAAAGUUUCGAGUGAUGAGACCCUAUAAUCACUAGAAUUGACCUAGACCGAGGGAACUUAGAACCUUCGGAAGAUUAGUUGCAGUAGAUGUUCGCACUACUCAGGCACCUCGUCCACCCAGUUAUAGACAAGUGGUGCUUAUCAUCCUCCACCCUCUCGCAAGGAGGAAAUCGUCGUCGCCUGGUAGACGAAGAAUCACACUUUCCAAAGUAAACACUAGAAUACCGAGAACCACAGGAUAACCUUCGCAGUCAAGAACCCCUGAUCAAAGUGCGAUAGUAGUUACGUUGAGCCUCAUGACCCAGAUCCCGAAGAGGUUAUAGACUUGACACCAGCCUUGGUGUUAGUCGAAGGGUUAUGCAGGAACAUGCGCUUUCCGCACUAGAUCAAACCAAAGUCUUAGAGAUUCAUGGGACUAUUAGGUGUUCCACGAAUACUAUCUCACGCAGAGAUAGUAGAACCACCUCCCGAGAUAGUCCAACACUCGUCUGGUGAAACCUUAUAUUCCCGACCUUCAGGGUUUCCGCAUCUCAAGCUUCGUUAGUGCAGAUUCCUUUUGCACAAGCUUGAGAUAGACACUCUACAGCAAACCGAUAACCAUAGCCACGCAACCCACUCGACGAUCUAGAAAGUCUCUAUCAACCAGUUGACAGAAAACACGAAACCAAAGACCACUCGAGAUUCCUAAGAACCAACCUGAAGGACUAUACGCACAGUACGAGUGAGAACGUUAGGAACUUUGGAAUGGCGAUCACGCCAGUGAUGAUCUUACCAUAGAAGUACACUAUGUUCUUGGUACUGAAAAGCUCUACCAUUUCGAGAGCUUAGGACCAUAUGAGAAUCCUCAUGGAGACUCGGUCCAACCCUUUUCUGGCCGCCACUACCUUCGGAUAUACCACAAGAUUCACACCCGAUCGAUCCACUUCUUAGACUUGAUAUGUGAUUUCCCGACAACACUCUUCGUGCCUCACUCAUCUUGAUAGAAUCCAUUGAGAACUCUAACCCUGUAGAUACACCGGUUGGAACCCACUAGCUACACGAGACGGAAUCCGCAUCCCGUACGUGAAGGUCUGUGGGAAUUAUAAACACAGACUAGAGUUCGCUUGGGAAUGCGAGGACAACCGUAUAGAAAGUACUCCCUUACCUCUACUUGGCCAUUCAUACCUACUUCCUUGCCUAGACCUGAAUUUCGGGACGAAAUUCCCUCUAACGGGGGGAUGAUGUGACAACCCAAGAUGUUCCGUUACGUUUCCCCGUUACCAUUAACGCGUGAUGAAAGGAAAUAAAAACACAUAACAUACAUUUCCACUUAAUUGGAAAAAGUUAGUUUUUAUUAUUACGACCACUAAAUCGGGUGCGACCAAAAGCCCCGUUUGACGGCAGUAUUGGGUAGAAUUCCACUGAACCCCGACUCAAAACCCUAUAUAAGGGUGAGUGGAGUCCAUUGGAGACUUUUUACACUCUCCAAACAUUCUCUCUCUACAACUUUUUCCCGAGCCAAAAAUCGUCCGUUUCGAGCCCCAAACGAGUAGGUAAACUAUCCUAACUCGUUGUAUAACUUAU
This 8321-nucleotide long non-coding RNA is filed under the name Lactuca sativa (garden lettuce). RNAcentral describes it as "long non-coding RNA (LSAT_LNC004530)". Lineage: Eukaryota; Viridiplantae; Streptophyta; Magnoliopsida; Asterales; Asteraceae. The record is from RNAcentral.